UUCUUAGUGGCGGACGGGUGAGUAACGCGUGGGUAACCUGCCCUGUACAGGGGGAUAACACUUAGAAAUAGGUGCUAAAACCGCAUAAGCGCACAGUACCGCAUGGUACAGUGUGAAAAACUCCGGUGGUACAGGAUGGACCCGCGUCUGAUUAGCUGGUUGGUGAGGUAACGGCCCACCAAGGCGACGAUCAGUAGCCGGCCUGAGAGGGUGAACGGCCACAUUGGGACUGAGACACGGCCCAAACUCCUACGGGAGGCAGCAG
RNAcentral lists this ribosomal RNA (265 nucleotides) under uncultured bacterium. Its description in RNAcentral is "partial 16S ribosomal RNA". It matches the Rfam family "Bacterial small subunit ribosomal RNA", at positions 89 to 354 of the family's 1533-position model. The record is from RNAcentral.